This 77-nucleotide transfer RNA is filed under the name Allostella humosa. RNAcentral's name for it is "Stella humosa tRNA-Pro". It matches the Rfam family "tRNA". From Rfam's summary of the family: Transfer RNA (tRNA) molecules are approximately 80 nucleotides in length. Their secondary structure includes four short double-helical elements and three loops (D, anti-codon, and T loops). Lineage: Bacteria; Pseudomonadati; Pseudomonadota; Alphaproteobacteria; Rhodospirillales; Allostellaceae. RNAcentral also lists the same sequence under 14 other names. The record is from RNAcentral.
CGGAGUGUAGCUCAGCCUGGUAGAGCACUGCUUUCGGGAGGCAGGGGCCGGAGGUUCGAAUCCUCUCACUCCGACCA